GGGGAUGUAGCUCAGUGGUAGAGUGUUUGCCUAGCAUGCACAAAGCCUUGGGCUCCGUCCCUA
This 63-nucleotide transfer RNA is filed under the name Neotoma lepida (desert woodrat). It matches the Rfam family "tRNA". From Rfam's summary of the family: Transfer RNA (tRNA) molecules are approximately 80 nucleotides in length. Their secondary structure includes four short double-helical elements and three loops (D, anti-codon, and T loops). Lineage: Eukaryota; Metazoa; Chordata; Mammalia; Rodentia; Cricetidae. The record is from Rfam by way of RNAcentral.